This 545-nucleotide ribosomal RNA is filed under the name uncultured bacterium. RNAcentral describes it as "bacterial SSU rRNA". It matches the Rfam family "Bacterial small subunit ribosomal RNA", at positions 777 to 1320 of the family's 1533-position model. The record is from RNAcentral.
AAUAGAAUACCCCGGUAGUCCACGCCGUAAACGAUGAGUGCUAAGUGUUGGGGGGUUUCCGCCCCUCAGUGCUGCAGCUAACGCAUUAAGCACUCCGCCUGGGGAGUACGGUCGCAAGACUGAAACUCAAAGGAAUUGACGGGGGCCCGCACAAGCGGUGGAGCAUGUGGUUUAAUUCGAAGCAACGCGAAGAACCUUACCAGGUCUUGACAUCCUGGUGACCACUAUGGAGACAUAGUUUCCCCUUCGGGGGCAACGGUGACAGGUGGUGCAUGGUUGUCGUCAGCUCGUGUCGUGAGAUGUUGGGUUAAGUCCCGCAACGAGCGCAACCCUUAUUCUUAGUUGCCAUCAUUCAGUUGGGCACUCUAAGGAGACUGCCGGUGAUAAACCGGAGGAAGGUGGGGAUGACGUCAAAUCAUCAUGCCCCUUAUGACCUGGGCUACACACGUGCUACAAUGGACGGUACAAACGGUUGCCAACCCGCGAGGGGAGCUAAUCCGAUAAAACCGUUCUCAGUUCGGAUUGUAGGCUGCAACUCGCCUACA